Molecule: long non-coding RNA, 650 nt
Organism: Ceratitis capitata (Mediterranean fruit fly)
Lineage: Eukaryota; Metazoa; Arthropoda; Insecta; Diptera; Tephritidae
Exons: 2
Source: RefSeq, a predicted model, not a curated record
AAUACGUGCUCUGUUAAGAAAGUUCAUCGAUUUUAAGAUUGCUGGACAUCAAAUCACCAACGAGCUUGUGUAGAGUAAACCUUCAAAAUACAACCAUGUGUAUAUUGGGUUAUUGCGUUUCCUUUUGCUUACAUUUCCAUAAUUUUGAUUUAAAACGAUUUAUAGAUAAUGGAACUGUUCUUCGGCGUAUGCCAACGUGUGAAUACGCACCACAUUCGUCAUUAUAUUAAGCAUAGCCAUAGCUACAAAUGCAAUUUAUAUCUUGCUUAUCCCGUUCCCUUAUUGGUUAAUAGAAUUAGGGAAGCGAUAUCGAAAUUAAAUGGAAUCAUAUUUAAAUAAGGAGUAACAACAUCUUGACCAUGGUGGCGACCAAUAAGAUAUAAGGUCCCUGUGUUUUAAGCUUGGCAGCAACAAAACUGUGUAACGUUUCAGUGAUUAUAUGUGAGCACCAUGUCUUUUGAACGUUUCAUGGAAUCCAGCGCGGAUGUAGAAAAUAAAGAACUUUAGUGUAAGGAAUGUAUGAUAAGAUCGAGAAAUGCAAAUUAAAGAAAAUUAUGUCCAAUAUUCUGUGAAUACAUCUUUGACUAUGCAUAUUAUAAUUAGUUAGUAAAAUGAACGUAAAUAAAAAUUUGCCUGUAAACAUUAAAAAA